Molecule: ribosomal RNA, 261 nt
Filed under: uncultured bacterium
Lineage: Bacteria
Description: partial 16S ribosomal RNA
Rfam family: Bacterial small subunit ribosomal RNA
Source: RNAcentral
GUCCACGCUGUAAACGAUGAAUACUUGGUGUUGAUCCCAUUGGGAUCAGUGCCGAAGCUAACGCAUUAAGUAUUCCACCUGGGGAGUACGAUCGCAAGGUUGAAACUCAAAGGAAUUGACGGGGGCCCGCACAAGCAGUGGAGCAUGUGGUUUAAUUCGAUGCAACGCGAAGAACCUUACCUAGGCUUGAAAAGCAAAGUGACAGGGUAUGAAAGUACCCCUCAGCAAUGGCACUUGUACAGGUGCUGCAUGGGCUGUCGU